This 118-nucleotide non-coding RNA is filed under the name uncultured Ruminococcus sp. Its description in RNAcentral is "yjdF RNA". It matches the Rfam family "azaaromatic riboswitch aptamer (yjdF RNA)", at positions 5 to 92 of the family's 101-position model. Lineage: Bacteria; Bacillati; Bacillota; Clostridia; Eubacteriales; Oscillospiraceae. The record is from RNAcentral.
GCAAAGAUAAAAACGCAACGAGUAUCAUUCCGAUAUUCCAGAGCCGGUAGGUAGCCCGGCCGUCUUAUCGCUCGAUAAGGUAAGUAACCCUCCCCUCCGGGUCGUCCGUUCUUUGUCC